UACAGAGGUCCCAAGCGUUGUCCGGAAUCAUUGGGCGUAAAGCGCGCGUAGGUGGCCUCGUAAGUCCGCUGUGAAAGUCAAAGGCUCAACCUUUGAAAGCCGGUGGAUACCGUGGGGCUAGAGUACGGAAGAGGCGAGUGGAAUUCCUGGUGUAGCGGUGGAAUGCGCAGAUAUCAGGAGGAACACCAAUAGCGAAGGCAGCUCGCUGGGACGUUACUGACACUGAGGCGCGAAAGCGUGGGGAGCGAACAGG
Molecule: ribosomal RNA, 253 nt
Filed under: uncultured bacterium
Lineage: Bacteria
Description: partial 16S ribosomal RNA
Rfam family: Bacterial small subunit ribosomal RNA
Source: RNAcentral